AGGCCUACGGGAGGCAGCAGUGGGGAAUAUUGCACAAUGGGGGAAACCCUGAUGCAGCAACGCCGCGUGAAGGAAGACGGUUUUCGGAUUGUAAACUUCUGUUCUUAGUGAAGAAGAAUGACGGUAGCUAAGGAGCAAGCCACGGCUAACUACGUGCCAGCAGCCGCGGUAAUACGUAGGUGGCAAGCGUUGUCCGGAUUUACUGGGUGUAAAGGGCGUGCAGCCGGGAGUGCAAGUCAGAUGUGAAAUCCCGCGGCUCAACCG
This 264-nucleotide ribosomal RNA is filed under the name uncultured bacterium. RNAcentral's name for it is "partial 16S ribosomal RNA". It matches the Rfam family "Bacterial small subunit ribosomal RNA", at positions 335 to 615 of the family's 1533-position model. The record is from RNAcentral.